Unclassified non-coding RNA from Homo sapiens (human), 102 nucleotides. It matches the Rfam family "Y RNA". From Rfam's summary of the family: Y RNAs are components of the Ro ribonucleoprotein particle (Ro RNP), in association with Ro60 and La proteins. The Y RNAs and Ro60 and La proteins are well conserved, but the function of the Ro RNP is not known. In humans the RNA component can be one of four small RNAs -- hY1, hY3, hY4 and hY5. Lineage: Eukaryota; Metazoa; Chordata; Mammalia; Primates; Hominidae. The record is from Ensembl.
UGCUGGUCCGAGUGCAGUGGAGUUUACAACUAAUUAAUUACAACCAGUUACAGAUUUAUUUGUUCCUUCUCUACUCCCACUGCUUCACUUGACUAGCCAAAA